GGGUUGUGAGGUUAAGCGACUAAGCGUACACGGUGGAUGCCCUGGCAGUCAGAGGCGAUGAAGGACGUGCUAAUCUGCGAUAAGCGCCGGUAAGGUGAUAUGAACCGUUAUAACCGGCGAUUUCCGAAUGGGGAAACCCAGUGUGACUCGUCACACUAUCAUUAACUGAAUCCAUAGGUUAAUGAGGCGAACCGGGGGAACUGAAACAUCUAAGUACCCCGAGGAAAAGAAAUCAACCGAGAUUCCCCAGUAGCGGCGAGCGAACGGGGAGGAGCCCAGAGCCUGAAUCAGCAUGUGUGUUAGUGGAAGCGUCUGGAAAGGCGCGCGAUACAGGGUGACAGCCCCGUACACAAAAGCGCAUGUGCUGUGAGCUCGAUGAGUAGGGCGGGACACGUGGUAUCCUGUCUGAAUAUGGGGGACCAUCCUCCAAGGCUAAAUACUCCUGACUGACCGAUAGUGAACCAGUACCGUGAGGGAAAGGCGAAAAGAACCCCGGCGAGGGAGUGAAAAAGAACCUGAAACCGUGUACGUACAAGCAGUGGGAGCACCCUUCGGGGUGUGACUGCGUACCUUUGUAUAAUGGGUCAGCGACUUAUAUUCUGUAGCAAGGUUAACCGUAUAGGGAGCCGCAGGGAAACCGAGUCUUAACCGGGCGUUAAGUUGCAGGGUAUAGACCCGAAACCCGGUGAUCUAGCCAUGGGCAGGUUGAAGGUUGGGUAACACUAACUGGAGGACCGAACCGACUAAUGUUGAAAAAUUAGCGGAUGACCUGUGGCUGGGGGUGAAAGGCCAAUCAAACCGGGAGAUAGCUGGUUCUCCCCGAAAGCUAUUUAGGUAGCGCCUCGUGAAUUCAUCUCCGGGGUAGAGCACUGUUUCGGCUAGGGGGCCAUCCCGGCUUACCAACCCGAUGCAAACUGCGAAUACCGGAGAAUGUUAUCACGGGAGACACACGGCGGGUGCUAACGUCCGUCGUGAAGAGGGAAACAACCCAGACCGCCAGCUAAGGUCCCAAAGUCAUGGUUAAGUGGGAAACGAUGUGGGAAGGCCCAGACAGCCGGAUGUUGGCUUAGAAGCAGCCAUCAUUUAAAGAAAGCGUAAUAGCUCACUGGUCGAGUCGGCCUGCGCGGAAGAUGUAACGGGGCUAAACCAUGCACCGAAGCUGCGGCAGCGACGCUUAUGCGUUGUUGGGUAGGGGAGCGUUCUGUAAGCCUGCGAAGGUGGCCUGUGAGGGUUGCUGGAGGUAUCAGAAGUGCGAAUGCUGACAUAAGUAACGAUAAAGCGGGUGAAAAGCCCGCUCGCCGGAAGACCAAGGGUUCCUGUCCAACGUUAAUCGGGGCAGGGUGAGUCGACCCCUAAGGCGAGGCCGAAAGGCGUAGUCGAUGGGAAACGGGUUAAUAUUCCCGUACUUGGUGUUACUGCGAAGGGGGGACGGAGAAGGCUAUGUUGGCCGGGCGACGGUUGUCCCGGUUUAAGCGUGUAGGUGUGUGUUCCGUAAAUCCGGUUCACUUUAACACUGAGGCGUGACGACGAGGCACUACGGUGCUGAAGCAACAAAUGCCCUGCUUCCGGAAAGCCUCUAAGCAUCAGGUAACAUCAAAUCGUACCCCAAACCGACACAGGUGGUCAGGUAGAGAAUACCAAGGCGCUUGAGAGAACUCGGGUGAAGGAACUAGGCAAAAUGGUGCCGUAACUUCGGGAGAAGGCACGCUGACACGUAGGUGAAGUGAUUUACUCAUGGAGCUGAAGUCAGUCGAAGAUACCAGCUGGCUGCAACUGUUUAUUAAAAACACAGCACUGUGCAAACACGAAAGUGGACGUAUACGGUGUGACGCCUGCCCGGUGCCGGAAGGUUAAUUGAUGGGGUCAGCGCAAGCGAAGCUCCUGAUCGAAGCCCCGGUAAACGGCGGCCGUAACUAUAACGGUCCUAAGGUAGCGAAAUUCCUUGUCGGGUAAGUUCCGACCUGCACGAAUGGCGUAAUGAUGGCCGGCUGUCUCCACCCGAGACUCAGUGAAAUUGAACUCGCUGUGAAGAUGCAGUGUACCCGCGGCAAGACGGAAAGACCCCGUGAACCUUUACUAUAGCUUGACACUGAACAUUGAGCCUUGAUGUGUAGGAUAGGUGGGAGGCUUUGAAGCGUGGACGCCAGUCUGCGUGGAGCCGACCUUGAAAUACCACCCUUUAAUGUUUGAUGUUCUAACGUGGACCCGUGAUCCGGGUUGCGGACAGUGUCUGGUGGGUAGUUUGACUGGGGCGGUCUCCUCCUAAAGAGUAACGGAGGAGCACGAAGGUUGGCUAAUCCUGGUCGGACAUCAGGAGGUUAGUGCAAUGGCAUAAGCCAGCUUGACUGCGAGCGUGACGGCGCGAGCAGGUGCGAAAGCAGGUCAUAGUGAUCCGGUGGUUCUGAAUGGAAGGGCCAUCGCUCAACGGAUAAAAGGUACUCCGGGGAUAACAGGCUGAUACCGCCCAAGAGUUCAUAUCGACGGCGGUGUUUGGCACCUCGAUGUCGGCUCAUCACAUCCGGGCUGAAGUAGGUCCCAAGGGUAUGGCUGUUCGCCAUUUAAAGUGGUACGCGAGCUGGGUUUAGAACGUCGUGAGACAGUUCGGUCCCUAUCGCCGUGGGCGCUGGAGAACUGAGGGGGCUGCUCCUAGUACGAGAGGACCGGAGUGGACGCAUCACUGGUGUUCGGGUUGUCAUGCCAAUGGCACUGCCCGGUAGCUAAAUGCGGAAGAGAUAAGUGCUGAAAGCAUCUAAGCACGAAACUUGCCCCGAGAUGAGUUCUCCCUGAGACUUUAGGUCUCCUGAAGGAACGUUGAAGACGACGACGUUGAUAGGCCGGGUGUGUAAGCGCAGCGAUGCGUUGAGCUAACCGGUACUAAUGAACCGUGAGGCUUAACCUUACAACGCCGAAG
This 2911-nucleotide ribosomal RNA is filed under the name Salmonella enterica subsp. enterica serovar Adjame. RNAcentral's name for it is "23S ribosomal RNA". It matches the Rfam family "Bacterial large subunit ribosomal RNA". The record is from RNAcentral. Lineage: Bacteria; Pseudomonadati; Pseudomonadota; Gammaproteobacteria; Enterobacterales; Enterobacteriaceae.